Molecule: long non-coding RNA, 962 nt
Organism: Leopardus geoffroyi (Geoffroy's cat)
Lineage: Eukaryota; Metazoa; Chordata; Mammalia; Carnivora; Felidae
Exons: 3
Source: RefSeq, a predicted model, not a curated record
AAUGCACCGGAGGCCUUGCUCAGCACACUGCCAACACGCUAAAAAUGUACACCAGCCUUCAAAGGGCCUUGCCUUGCCAGCACUGGCCACAGCUCCUCCUAGGCCCCACCGAGUGGCACGGGCCGCGGAGGCCUUGGAAGUAGUCACAGGAGACAGUGCCACCGCGUGGAAAUGGCGGGAAUCGCUGCUGGUCCUUGAGGAACUCAAUAGUCUAGGGAAAGGGCCUUCUGUUCAUUCAUCCAGCAGUCACGCCCUGGGGGCCCCCUGCUGGCCGGCGCUGGCCUAGGGCUGAAAAGAUGAAAGUCCCUAUCUGUUCAGUCUAGUGGAGGGGAGGGCGACGAAGAAGGAACUGGAAAGGGACAUGCACUGCAGCAGGGGCAAGCCGAUUGUGGGAGCCCGCAGGAAGCACCAGGCAGCUCAUAAGAGGCCCUUCAACCACCAUCAUCUAUGCAGAGCAUGAACCGAACCGUGUCCAGGCACAGGAGUACAGCCUAACAAGACGGAACUUAGCACUGCAGUGAGACAGUAGGAAAAUAGCUGAACUUCCAAGAAGAGUCUCCUUGCUUUUACCUGGAGUGGCACCACCCUGGACAUCAGGUGAUCAAAAUAAAGGUCCACUGCUUCGGUGAAGCCCUUUCUCCAAAGGCCAUGAGAGAAACCCAGCAAGAGACGCUGGAGGAGCCAGGACACUCAAGAGAGUUGGAGAGAAAGAACCUCAGCUAGGCCAACAUGGCGGAGAAGUAGGGCAACCCAUACUUCCUGCCACUCUCAAACAAAGAAGUGCAGAAGCCAAAGGACUUUGAACACCAGAGCCUGGGAGGAAAAGAGACUGAAUCUACUAGGAAGAAAAUGGGGAAGCUGGAAAGAAGAUAGGCGGGUAACUGCAAACUGGGGGAGAUAAAAAACAGCCACAUGGGCACGGAGCGGAGGCACUCCCUUCAACGGAGAGACAAAGGAAACAG